UAUUGGGCAAUGGGCGCAAGCCUGACCCAGCAACGCCGCGUGAAGGAAGAAGGCUUUCGGGUUGUAAACUUCUUUUCUGGGGGACGAGGAAAGUGACGGUACCCCAGGAAUAAGCCACGGCUAACUACGUGCCAGCAGCCGCGGUAAUACGUAGGAGGCAAGCGUUAUCCGGAUUUAUUGGGUUUAAAGGGCGUGUAGGCGGGAAUGCAAGUCAGAUGUGAAAACUAUGGGCUCAACCCAUAGCCUGUAUUUGAAACUGUAUUUCUUGAGUGCUGGAGAGGCAAUCGGAAUUCCGUGUGUAGCGGUGAAAUGCGUAGAUAUACGGAGGAACACCAGUGGCGAAGGCGGAUUGCUGGACAGUAACUGACGCUGAGGCGCGAAAGCGUGGGGAGCAAACAGG
RNAcentral lists this ribosomal RNA (400 nucleotides) under uncultured bacterium. Its description in RNAcentral is "bacterial SSU rRNA". It matches the Rfam family "Bacterial small subunit ribosomal RNA", at positions 362 to 776 of the family's 1533-position model. The record is from RNAcentral.